GCUGAUCUCACGGGAGCGCACCAGGUCACUCUUGUUGCCCACGAGGAUGAUGGGAGUGUUGGGGUGGCUCUCCCUCAGCAACAAGCGCAGCUGAGACACACGGUGGAAACUACGGCGGUCCGUCAACGAGAACACCAAUACCAGUGAUCCUGAUCCCUUCUGCUCUCAGGACCUGCCUGAUGCAUCCUGAUGCCUUACUUCUAGUUGGAGUGCUCCUCACGUGGACACCACUCACUGCUGCUGAGGAUGGCCUCCAAUAUGGACAGCCUGAAGAUACAUGAGAUUACUGUGGAUGGUACCACUUAGAAACCAUGAAGAUGGCUUUGGACUGCAAUUGAUAUGAACAGUUUUGCUAUGAUGGCUUACGACUACAAUUACUACAAUAUCUUUUGGACUGUAAUUCCCGCAAAUAGUUUUGCACUCAAGUCUCCAUCAGUGAACAGUUGAUAACUUCAUCAAAAUAGACUUUGUGUGAAAACUAUAAUUUCCUGGUUACACAACUGCACUAUUUGUCCAUGUAGUUCACAGUUAUAGAAGGGAAUUAUUUAUAAUCGCACUAUCCGACAAUGACUAGAGGCUUUCAUUUUCAAAUAUUAUAAAAUAACCUUGUGUUUGAGAAUAAUUAAGCUAUUUAACUCAUGGCUGUUAGUAAGAAUAUACACUGGCACCUUUCCUAAAGAAGAACUUAGCUGUUAAACUAAUCAGCUGUUAAUUUCCCCUUUGUAAACCGCCAACUCAAAAGCACAAAAGUGCAAAUAAUGCAUAUAUAAAGAAGCCAAUGAUAAAGCAAACCACACUAUAAUGCUGUGUAUCAAAGUACAAGCAGCAAAUUACACCACCAUUAUCAUUUAUGGAAUAAAAAGCUAACUGAACCAUUGAUUUUCUGCCUUGAUAUCAAAUCUAAAGUACCAACAUAUUGCUUCUAAUAGCUAAUAUGGAAACCCAAGGAAAGGAAGAUAAAUAUCCUUUUACAAGCAUUAUACCGUACCCCAGCUGAAUGCUGGAUUCUGAUUGGUAGGGAGGUGUGGAUUCAUUUUCUAUAACAGCAGCUCUGACUGUCGUGGUUUAUAUUAAUGUGCCUUGUCUAAUACAUGCGCUUGUAUGGUGGACGCUCUACUUCAAAAAAAAAAAAAAAAAAGCUCACUGUAAUUGUUGAUAUGGUGAGGAUUUCUGUGAACAAACAUUACAUAACAUUGAGGGAAGGAGUCUCCAGUGUCAGCACUUUGAAACAGUCAGGGAUAAAGCUGUAACUGCUGUUUUUUUUACUUUUACUUCAAGAGAGAGAAAAAGAGAGGCUGGUGAGGGAACGACUGUGGAUAGCUGAAACUGUUGGUGGUAUAAAAGGGAAUAAAAUACGUCAGGAUGUGAUGUCAUUAGAUAAUAAUCAAACUUUGGGUUGGUAAUGGUGUCGAGUCACAUCACAACACCACAUUGUUGAUUUUUUUCCCUAUGUAGUGUUUUUACACAUUACAUAAGCAACAUAAUGGCUUAUACAAAAGCACACAAUGAACAAAUGCUAAGCAGGCUGGAGAGGCUCACUGUUUACCACAGUUAUAUGAAUACAUUAACUAGAAUCAAAUUUAAAGUUUAUAAAUAACCAGUCGAAUAUUUUAGUAGACGUACUCUGUCAUGUUCGGCUCUGUUGCCAUUCCACCCCGCCAAAUCUCUCCACUCAUUUCUAUGGAACUGAAUUAUUAAAAUGAUCUAAAGCCCUGGCAUUUCCUCACACUGUUAAGAUAAUAAAAUGCUAUGCAAUGUCAGCAGCCUGGUAUGACUUCAGUAUUACAACAGAAUGUUUUUCAGAGCAGUGUAUACACACACACACACACACACCACACACCACACACACUUCUCGUACAUCUGUCCUCUUACUGCACAGUCAGGGUUUUAUCUGGACCAAGUUCAGAGUUGUAAACAAAGCAUAGAAACUGUGGCAUCUGCUGAAAUCCAAAUGUUCCUGAAACUAUCUACCUUAAAUGCUAAAACAACCUGCAUACCACUUUCUGCGUACAAAUAUAUCUAGUUAUGAUGCUGUAAUUUGGUAAAUGUAGAAGCAAGAGUACACAAAUUGUAAAUUUUGUUUGUUUGAAAACCUAACUGACGAGCUAAACAAUAGUUUAUAAUAUUACGUAAUAAAGUAUGGAGAGCUAGUUAGCUACAUAAAUGCAUUAAUACAGAUGCAAACAGGUACACACAUUCCCACAUGAAGGAAUGACUUUGUCUAGACACAGUCAUUAUCCUUUUCUAAGAAAGCUUCUAAUGUAGCACAUCGUAUGUUCAACCUCGACAACAUGCCAGCAAGUUAUUGGCUAUCAGUUGGCUAUGAGGCUAAUUCACUAGAUCAGUAUUCCAGACUAUGUCUUUAAACAGUCUGAAAAAUUCCAGACAUUGAUGUAGAAGCUUCUGAUUGGCCAUUUGUCAUAAGUAGAAGUUAAUUGGGAGUGCAUUUGUGGCUGUAUUUAGAGCGUUUAGAGCCAGUGUUUACAUUUUUGCCUUUCAUACCAUUGGAAUAUCCAAACAACUAAAUCAAGAUCUCCACAAAAAUGUCAACUUCCAGAAGUCUGGUUCCUCUUUAGGAGCAAUUUCCAAUUAAGUGAAUGUACGAUGAGUAUCUGUACAAACAACUGUAUGCAAAUCUAAAAAUCCUGAUACCACACGGACACUGCAUUAUUCAGGAAGGAGGCAGAAUUGAACUCCCAGGGAUGAAUGAGCUCUGGGCUGAAGGGUUCAACUGAACCCCAAGACAACAACAAAGAAACUGGUGAAGAAGUUGGAGGCAUCAGAUACCAAACACGUGCAUCCAUCAUUAAGAGAGUGGCACAUUGCUGUGGCCUGAAAGACUGUCGCAGAAGAAAGAAGGCAGAAAAAAGCCAGAAUGAAGUUUGCAGGUGAUCACCAGGAUGAAGACCUAGCUUUUCAGAGGACAAAAAUUGAACACUUUGGCCACAACAAUCAACACUAUGUAUUGAGGAAAAAGGGUGAGGAUUUCAUUCAAAGAACAAAAUCCCUACUGUGAAGCACGGGGGUGGCAGCAUCACAUUGUGUGCAGGACAGUGAUCCUAAGCAUACCUCCUAAGGUGUAACAAAAUGGCUUAAAGAUAACAAAGGGAAAGUAUUGGAGAGGCCAUCACAAACCCUGACCUGAAUCCCACAGAAAAUCUGUUGACUGAACUGGUAAAGUGUGUCCAAGCAAGGAGGCCCACAAACCUGACUGAGUUACACCAGUUCUGUCAGGAGGAAUGGGCAAAAAUUCCAGCAAAAUAUUGUGAGAUGUUACAACAAGUGUUUGACUCAAGUUAAGCAAUUAAAAAGCAAUGUUCCAAAUACUAAUAAAGUGUAUGUAAAUUUUUUAGCCACUGAAAAUCUCAUAUAGUAAAUAAACACUGAAAUGAAUCUGUCUCUUAGCUAUUAUUUUGAAAUGACCUCUUAUGGAAAUAAAGUAAACAUGAAAAUAAACAUGAAAUUGUCAUGUCCACCAUGGACAAUUCCUCCCCCAAACACCAGAGGGCACUCUCAAUCAUUUUUUUGAAUUUCUUCUUUGGUUGUCUGCUCCAUUUCCUCCCUUGAUUGUGCUCAGCUGUUUUGUGUUUCCCCAAUUAGUUCCCUAUUUAAGUUCUGUGUUUUCCCUCUUUAGUGUUUGAGUGUUGUGUGUGUUUGUGCAUGGUUGAUGUGGGUGCUCAUAUGUUAUAUUCUAUUUGCACCAUGAGUGUUUUUUGGUUUCAUGUUGAGUUUUCUUUUCUUUUCUUUGCCUUGCCAAGCUUUAGCCUAGUCCCUUUUUUGAUAUUCCAGUUUAUGGGUCCUUUUCCAGUCUUCACUUAUUUUUUUUAGUUGUUUUAUUACUAAAAUUUAAAAAGAAAUGCAUCAUUCCCCCUGAAUUCCAUGACAGAAAUAUGUGUAGCUGCCUCCUGGCUUAAGAUUUUCUUUCUUUCUGGUUGAUUAAUACAGUGAUACUGGGCAACUGUGUGAUAAUUUUAGACUGGGUUAUCACACUGUGAUGAUAAUAAACCCAACACCUCCUAGUAAACUAUAGCAAUUUUCAGGACAAUUGGGUCAGGUGCCAGAUUUAUCCCUGGACUCUGUGCCGUGUUGGAGGUUGGAGUUAAGUUUCAUGACUCGUUAGCCCUGGCACAGGUUGGACAGGUUUCAAAUUUGUGCACCAAACUAAAGCAUCAAUGUAAACCAGUACCAAUGGCUGACAGCAGGCAUAGGACACUCUCUAACAUGUGUAAGGGCAGGCAGUCUAUUUUAGGAAACUGGGUGACUUAUUAAAGCCAUUCUUUCUACCUGCUGUCAAGGGUGUUUCAAGCCUCCAGGAAACCUAAAGCAGUCUACUCCAGGCAGUGUGUGUUUGUGUGUAGAGGCACAUGUGCGUCUAUCGUGCUGAGUAUGCAAGCGAGCUGGGCGUGAGAGUGAGAGUGCAGUCCAUACAUCUGCAUACGCAUGAGUGCUCAUGUAUGAAGCAUACUGUGACUGUGUAGGCUGAUUUGUGCAUGCCUUCCUGCACAGGCUCAGGUGUUUAUAAUGGAUUGGGUGGCUGUCUAUUAUCCAAACGUUUCAGUAAAGGUAAUAAACAAGCUGCCAAUGCCUAGUUUUCUCUUAUUAGCAGUGGAAAGCUGCUUUUUUAAGCCCUGAUUCAUGUUAUUAACCUGAUUUGACAGAACAAAUAAUGUCCUGCAGGCAACAAUCUGGGGCCUCCAAUCAGUUAGUAUUCCAAGU
Molecule: long non-coding RNA, 4716 nt
Organism: Pangasianodon hypophthalmus (striped catfish)
Lineage: Eukaryota; Metazoa; Chordata; Actinopteri; Siluriformes; Pangasiidae
Exons: 2
Source: RefSeq, a predicted model, not a curated record